RNAcentral lists this ribosomal RNA (253 nucleotides) under uncultured bacterium. RNAcentral's name for it is "partial 16S ribosomal RNA". It matches the Rfam family "Bacterial small subunit ribosomal RNA", at positions 524 to 776 of the family's 1533-position model. The record is from RNAcentral.
UACGUAGGGAGCAAGCGUUGUCCGGAAUUACUGGGCGUAAAGGGCGCGUAGGCGGGAAUGCAAGUCAGAUGUGAAAACUCCGGGCUCAACUUGGAGAUUGCAUUUGAAACUGUGUUUCUUGAGGGCAGGAGAGGAAAGUGGAAUUCCUAGUGUAGCGGUGAAAUGCGUAGAUAUUAGGAGGAACACCAGUGGCGAAGGCGACUUUCUGGACUGUACCUGACGCUGAUGCGCGAAAGCGUGGGUAGCAAACGGG